GCACAACCACGUUUUUUAGUCAUCGUUUCAAUUAUAAUAUUUGUUUUGUUUCCACUUCCAAAAGUUUUGUAGCGUAAAUACUUUUUGAUUGCACAUAAUGUAACUGAGGUAGAACAUUUAAUUCAUUUGCAUUUUGAAAUUUCUUAAAAGGAUUACACAAAGACAAACUAUACUAUUGUCCGUUGCAUACAAAAAACUAAAAAAAAAAAAAAUCUGUAUCGAUUCCUUGAGAUGCUGAAAAAAACUAGUUGAAGUGCUUCUGAUAUCAUUUUAAAUUUGCCCACUCAGUCUAAGAUAUAUCUAC
This 304-nucleotide long non-coding RNA is filed under the name Capsella rubella. Its description in RNAcentral is "long non-coding RNA (CRUB_LNC003421)". The record is from RNAcentral. Lineage: Eukaryota; Viridiplantae; Streptophyta; Magnoliopsida; Brassicales; Brassicaceae.